Molecule: long non-coding RNA, 787 nt
Organism: Cucumis sativus (cucumber)
Lineage: Eukaryota; Viridiplantae; Streptophyta; Magnoliopsida; Cucurbitales; Cucurbitaceae
Exons: 2
Source: RefSeq, a predicted model, not a curated record
AUAAUAAAGAUAAUGACAAUAGUAAUGAUAAUAAUACUGUAUUAUUAUUAUUAUUGUAUAUAUUAAAUAAGCCUCUUUCAUUUUUCAUGUCCAUCUUCUCCACCCCUCUUUCUUCUUCACCAUUCAACCCUAGAGCAGUCGCCGCCCCACUUCAGCCAUCGUCGCGCACAACACUCCAGUGAGAGAGUCCUCGUCACGGUCGCAUAGUCGAAGCAUCACGGUCACGAAGCACAACCGUUCGUUUCUCUCCAGCCGUGUCGACUCGUGUUGCAUCGGACAGUCGAACGACCCCUAUCUUCCGCCGUGCGCUCCUCCUUCGCGUCGUCGAUCGUAACCCUCUCUUUUGUCGAAACCAUCAUCGGUCGUAGCCUCCACUUGCACAGCACCGCCGGACAUCAUCGCGCUUGACAGUCAAGGAUGCAAGCCAUGACAAUUUUCUUUUCGCGAGCCACACGUCCAAGCCGCGUCAGUUCAAGCCGUGUCCCUUCACCGAGCCGCGUGAGUCAUCUCUGUUGAUCCAAGCCGUUCCAUGUAAGCCGUACGCGAGCCAUACACAACUGAGUCGAUCCUGUGUGAGCCGUAUGCGAGCCGUGAGUCUCAAGACCCGAGCCGAAGCCUUGCUAGCCGAGCCACCUUCAGUUUUAGCCGUCUGCAACAUAUUUAAGCCCUUGGUUAAGGUGUGGUUGAGGAAUUGAAUUGUGCAAAUUUCAAUUUAAGGUUGUAUUGAGAUCAACUUUAAAUCUUUGGGGUAAGUUUGAUUGAAUUGGUUGCCUAAUUAAACAGUAAA